AUUGAACGCUGGCGGAAUGCUUUACACAUGCAGUCGAACGGCAGCACGGACUUCGGUCUGGUGGCGAGUGGCGAACGGGUGAGUAAUGUAUCGGAACGUGCCCAGUCGUGGGGGAUAACGUAGUGAAAAUUACGCUAAUACCGCAUACGAACUAAGGAUGAAAGCGGGGGAUCGCAAGACCCCGCGCGAUUGGAGCGGCCGAUAUCAGAUUAGGUAGUUGGUGGGGUAAAGGCCCACCAAGCCAAAGAUCUGUAGCUGGUCUGAGAGGACGACCAGCCACACUGGAACUGAGACACGGUCCAGACUCCUACGGGAGGCAGCAGUGGGGAACUUUGGACAAUGGGCGAAAGCCUGAUCCAGCCAUGCCGCGUGCAGGAUGAAGGCCCUCGGGUUGUAAACUGCUUUUGUACAGAACGAAAAGGUUUCUACUAAUACUAGGAGCUCAUGACGGUACUGUAAGAAUAAGCACCGGCUAACUACGUGCCAGCAGCCGCCGUAA
RNAcentral lists this ribosomal RNA (499 nucleotides) under uncultured bacterium. Its description in RNAcentral is "partial 16S ribosomal RNA". It matches the Rfam family "Bacterial small subunit ribosomal RNA", at positions 30 to 523 of the family's 1533-position model. The record is from RNAcentral.